GAACUCAUGCGCAAAUGCAGAGACAGUCUGUCGCAUCCCGGCUCGACAAGGUUUACGGCAUUUGUCAUGACGGGA
RNAcentral lists this small RNA (75 nucleotides) under Sinorhizobium meliloti 2011. RNAcentral's name for it is "putative ncRNA". The record is from RNAcentral. Lineage: Bacteria; Pseudomonadati; Pseudomonadota; Alphaproteobacteria; Hyphomicrobiales; Rhizobiaceae.